AGUGAACGCUGGCGGUAGGCCUAACACAUGCAAGUCGAACGGCAGCACAGUAAGAGCUUGCUCUUACGGGUGGCGAGUGGCGGACGGGUGCGGAAUACAUCGGAAUCUACUUUUUCGCGGGGGAUAACGUAGGGAAACUUACGCUAAUACAGCAUACGACCUACGGGUGAAAGCAGGGGAUCUUCGGACCUUGCGCGAUUGAAUGAGCCGAUGUCGGAUUAGCUAGUUGGCGGGGUAAAGGCCCACCAAGGCGACGAUCCGUAGCUGAUCUGAGAGGAUAAUCCGCCACACUGUAACUGAGACACGGUCCCGACUCCGACGGGAGGCAGCAGUGGGGAAUAUUGGACAAUGGGCGCAAGCCUGAUCCAGCCAUACCGCGUGGGUGAAGAAGGCCUUCGGGUUGUAAAGCCCUUUUGUUGGUAAAGAAAAGCAGCAGGUUAAUCCCCCGCUGUUCUGACGGUACCCAAAGAAUAAGCACCGGCUAACUUCGUG
Molecule: ribosomal RNA, 492 nt
Filed under: uncultured bacterium
Lineage: Bacteria
Description: partial 16S ribosomal RNA
Rfam family: Bacterial small subunit ribosomal RNA
Source: RNAcentral